Molecule: microRNA, 22 nt
Filed under: Glycine max (soybean)
Lineage: Eukaryota; Viridiplantae; Streptophyta; Magnoliopsida; Fabales; Fabaceae
Description: gma-miR5035-5p
Source: miRBase by way of RNAcentral
CUUCUAAACAUUUUUUCCCUUA